CUAACAAUUCGCAUAAAACCGAAUUGGACAGAAAAACUGACAUCGGCUCGUUGGAGAAAAUGGCUGUUAUUUGUAACUUGCUUCGCCACGUCUCUACUUACAUCCUAGCAUGUUUUCUUCCGGAAACUUUCUUUUACACGAGUACAUCUUUUUAAGCUGGGACUAGAUAGCACUGGCCAGUAAUUAGGGGUGCUCUAGGGGGCGGCGGAGGGCACCCUGUGUCCAGAAGUCUCCACACCUGGGCUCUCCCUGCUUGGGGCAGCACACCAGACAGGGUUCCCUGUAGCUAAGGCUGACCUCAAGCUCACUAGUAACCAAAGCUGGCUUUGAAUUUCUGGUUUUCCUGCUUCUACCUCCUGGGUGCUGAGAUCACAGGCGAGCGCCACCUGGUGGAGCAGAGAGAGAGUCCAUAACGGCACAGGCGGCGCAGCAGCAGACUUGGGGUCAAGAAGCCGAGAGAUCACAUCUUCAACCACCUGCAGAAAGCGGAGGAAGCAGGAGCUGGAAGUGGAAUGGAGCCCACACCCUCAGUGCCUUCCCCAAUGAUGUGCUUCUUCCAGCAAGGCUGCACCUCCUAAGGUUCCAGGACCUCCCCAAACAGUGCCAGGAACUUGGAACCAAGUGUUCAAAUACACGAGGGGGACAUUUCUCAUUCAAACCACCACAGAGUACGUGUACAGUAAAGCCAACUGUCCUCUGAAUGAACUCCUAGGAAAAAAACCUUUGUUUACUAGCUUAUCCUUAUGCAUAAUUGGGUGUGCAUAUUAUUAAAAUUCAAAUGCAUUGUGCACAGUAAGCAUGCCUGCCAAUCAAAACAUCUGUGCCUGGGGCUUGAAAGAGGACCCAGGUUCAGUUCCUAGCACCUUUGUGGUAACUCAUGACCCUCUAAAUAACUCCAGUUCCAGGGGAUCUGAUAUCUUCUUCUGACCUCCAAGGGCACCAGGAGCCCUCCCAGGGCAUGCAUGUGGCAAAAUACUCAUAAAAUAAAAGAAGCUAAGAAAAUAAAUAAUCAGUUAACUACCUGUGCUAUGCUCCCUAGCAACCAAAUUCUUCCUUCUCUUGAACGCCACAAAAGGAAGCUCCAAGCAAUAAUUGGGACCCUUAAGUGUCUUCACUCAUGUGGCUCAUUGUCACUCUUUUUAAUCUUGUUACAUUUAUUCACUUACUGUGUUUGUGCACACAUCUGUGUGUGUGCACGUGUGUCAUGGUGCACGUGUGGAGAUUACAGCCAUGUGAAAGUCGGUGCUCUCCUUCCACCAGGUGGCUGCCGGGGCUUGAACUCAAGCCCUUACACCCUGGCAGCAACGUCCUCAUCUGCGGGGCUAUCUCACCAGCUCCAUCGGUCGCUCCUUUUUAAGAUUUUUAUUUAAUAUUUAUUUAUAUUUGCUAGCAUCUUUUACAUUGUUUUCCUUCCCCUUCCUCCCUUUCCUUUCUUCUCUGCCCCCAACAUGC
This is a long non-coding RNA of Peromyscus maniculatus bairdii (prairie deer mouse), 1452 nucleotides long. RefSeq lists it as uncharacterized. The record is from RefSeq and is a predicted model, not a curated record. NCBI's taxonomy places the organism in Eukaryota, Metazoa, Chordata, Mammalia, Rodentia, Cricetidae.